UUCCGGUUGAUCCUGCCGGACCCGACUGCUAUCAGAGUGGGACUAAGCCAUGCGAGUCGACGUAGCAAUGCGUGGCGAACGGCUCAGUAACACGUAGUCAACAUGCCCAGGGGACGUGGAUAACCUCGGGAAACUGAGAAUAAACCACGAUAGGUCACGAUUUCUGGAAUGGAUCAUGGCCUAAAUCUACAUGGCCCCUGGAUUGGACUGCGGCCGAUCAGGCUGUUGGUGAGGUAAUGGCCCACCAAGCCUAUAACCGGUACGGGCUCUGAGAGGAGAAGCCCGGAGAUGGGCACUGAGACAAGGGCCCAGGCCCUAUGGGGCGCAGCAGGCGCGAAACCUCUGCAAUAGGCGAAAGCCUGACAGGGUUACUCUGAGUGAUUUCCGCCAAGGGGAUCUUUUGGCACCUCUAAAAAUGGUGCAGAAUAAGGGGUGGGCAAGUCUGGUGUCAGCCGCCGCGGUAAUACCAGCACCCCGAGUGGUCGGGACGAUUAUUGGGCCUAAAGCAUCCGUAGCCGGUUCUGCAAGUCUUCCGUUAAAUCCAGCCGCUCAACGGAUGGGCCGCGGAGGAUACUACAGGACUAGGAGGCGGGAGAGGCAAGCGGUACUCAGUGGGUAGGGGUAAAAUCCUUUGAUCCAUUGAAGACCACCAGUGGCGAGGGCGGCUUGCCAGAACGCGCUCGACGGUGAGGGAUGAAAGCUGGGGGAGCAAACCGGAUUAGAUACCCGGGUAGUCCCAG
Molecule: ribosomal RNA, 740 nt
Filed under: uncultured archaeon
Lineage: Archaea
Description: bacterial SSU rRNA
Rfam family: Archaeal small subunit ribosomal RNA
Source: RNAcentral